UAGUAUAACGACCUGGCUAGCUAUUCACGAAACGUUCGUAGACCUACGAACUUCUUAAUCCCAUUCUUAUCACAUUUGCUACGAUCAAAGUUAAGAAUUCUUAGGGCUACGAACGUUUCGAGAACAAGAGCCCAGUUCAAGAUUUG
Long non-coding RNA from Haliotis rubra (blacklip abalone), 146 nucleotides. RefSeq lists it as uncharacterized. The record is from RefSeq and is a predicted model, not a curated record. The transcript is spliced from 3 exons. Lineage: Eukaryota; Metazoa; Mollusca; Gastropoda; Lepetellida; Haliotidae.